UCCGUAGACUGUAUUGUAAGUUAUUCGUUAAAUCCUAAAGCCUAACUUUAGAAAAGCAUUUAAUACUACUAUACUUGAGUUUUUUGUCAGAAGAGUAGAAUUUCAUGUCGAGGAGUAACGACUGCAGACACAUGAAGGAAUAUCAGCAGCGAAGGCGGCUCUUUGGUAAAAACUGACGUUGAGGGACGAAAGUGUAGGUAGCAAACAA
This 208-nucleotide ribosomal RNA is filed under the name uncultured bacterium. Its description in RNAcentral is "partial 16S ribosomal RNA". It matches the Rfam family "Bacterial small subunit ribosomal RNA", at positions 568 to 775 of the family's 1533-position model. The record is from RNAcentral.